AUGGUGCUGGAAACGAAGCCGAGAGAGGCAACUGCAGGUGCAGCGGGGCCUGGAGGCAGCAGCUCCCUCGCCGUGGCCGAGAAGAAAGGACACGCCUGGUGGGGUGGGGGACGCUUGGGGCUUCUGAGCACGCAGCCUGUGACAGGACCCCCCUGCCGUGGUCCUGUCCCACACACGAGCGCCCCCUGUACCCAGUGGUCAGGGGAGCUACUGCGGGAGGCAGCCUGGACUGGGGCAGACCCUCAGUGGCCCAUGACCGCGGAGGGACGCGGUCACGCAGCAGCCCUGGUCUCGGCUUUCUCGUCUGCAGGACGACCUGGGGCCAGUCCAUCCCCAUGGUCCCACCCAGCCCAGCAGGCUCAGCAGCGCCUUUUCAAAGCCGAAAGCUUUCCACCUCAACCCGAAGCCACCAGCUCCCAGGACAGGACGUGCCCUCAGAGUUUAGUGACUACAAAUAGUGGCUGGGCCAACUCAGGCAGCGGCAGAGAAGGCAGCCUCCCAGCCGCCAGGGAAGGGCCCAGCAGGGCCACUACCCAGCUCGCAGAGCCCUGGGAACCCCAGCAACAAGGUCCACACGGGGCUCGGAGGUGCAGAGCUUGCUCCCCACCGUCUGCAGGCCGGGGUGGGGGUGCCUCUGCCUCUGUCCCACACCCCCGUGACGCCACUGCCCCUCUCUGUCUCUGCCCUCCCUUCUCUGCCCCCCCAGCUCUGCCCCACCCCCGUCUCAGCCUCACCCCGUCUCUGCCCCCCUCCCCAUCUCUGUUCUCCUGCAUCUCCCCUGGACCCUGGCCCCCUCGGCUUAGGGUCCACCUGGACCCGACAACCCCACCUCACUUGGUCACACCUGCAGCCAGCCUGUCUCUUGGUGUCCGUACCACAGGCGCCAUGGCAGGACUGAAACCCCAGGCCCGUCCUACCGUCGGGGCUGGGCCAGCCUGCAUUACCGAGCGUCUACCUCACACGCAGCCUGCUGGACGGGCCGCGUGCGGACACGGCAAGCUUUCCAAAGCCGUGAAGGGGAGGAGAAGGGCGGCCGCAGCCUUGCUGGGAGGAAAGGAAGCCCUGCCAGGGUUUGGUUGA
RNAcentral lists this long non-coding RNA (1080 nucleotides) under Sus scrofa (pig). RNAcentral's name for it is "lncRNA (ENSSSCG00070013137.1)". Lineage: Eukaryota; Metazoa; Chordata; Mammalia; Artiodactyla; Suidae. The record is from RNAcentral.